This 253-nucleotide ribosomal RNA is filed under the name uncultured bacterium. RNAcentral's name for it is "partial 16S ribosomal RNA". It matches the Rfam family "Bacterial small subunit ribosomal RNA", at positions 524 to 776 of the family's 1533-position model. The record is from RNAcentral.
UACGAAGGGGGCUAGCGUUGUUCGGAAUUACUGGGCGUAAAGCGUGCGCAGGCGGCUUCUCAAGUCAGGGGUGAAAGCCCAGAGCUCAACUCUGGAAUUGCCUUUGAGACUGAGUGGCUUGAGUACGGGAGAGGUGAGUGGAAUUCCCAGUGUAGAGGUGAAAUUCGUAGAUAUUGGGAAGAACACCGGUGGCGAAGGCGGGUCACUGGGUAGUAACUGACGCUGAGGAACGAAAGCGUGGGUAGCGAACAGG